RNAcentral lists this ribosomal RNA (206 nucleotides) under uncultured bacterium. RNAcentral's name for it is "partial 16S ribosomal RNA". It matches the Rfam family "Bacterial small subunit ribosomal RNA", at positions 568 to 774 of the family's 1533-position model. The record is from RNAcentral.
CACGCAGGCGGUUUGCUAAGUCCUUUGUGAAAGCCCGGGGCUCAACCCGGAAUUGCAUGGGAUACUGGUUGACUGGAGACAGGUAGAGGCUAGCGGAAUUCCUGGUGUAGCGGUGGAAUGCGUAGAUAUCAGGAAGAACACCUGUGGCGAAGGCGGCUAGCUGGGCCUGUUCUGACGCUCAUGUGCGAAAGCGUGGGGAGCAAACA